Molecule: ribosomal RNA, 482 nt
Filed under: uncultured bacterium
Lineage: Bacteria
Description: partial 16S ribosomal RNA
Rfam family: Bacterial small subunit ribosomal RNA
Source: RNAcentral
UGAACGCUGGCGGCAGGCCUAACACAUGCAAGUCGAGCGGUAGAGAGAAGCUUGCUUCUCUUGAGAGCGGCGGACGGGUGAGUAAUGCCUAGGAAUCUGCCUGGUAGUGGGGGAUAACGUUCGGAAACGGACGCUAAUACCGCAUACGUCCUACGGGAGAAAGCAGGGGACCUUCGGGCCUUGCGCUAUCAGAUGAGCCUAGGUCGGAUUAGCUUGUUGGUGGGGUAAUGGCUCACCAAGGCGACGAUCCGUAACUGGUCUGAGAGGAUGAUCAGUCACACUGGAACUGAGACACGGUCCAGACUCCUACGGGAGGCAGCAGUGGGGAAUAUUGGACAAUGGGCGAAAGCCUGAUCCAGCCAUGCCGCGUGUGUGAAGAAGGUCUUCGGAUUGUAAAGCACUUUAAGUUGGGAGGAAGGGCAGUAAAUUAAUACUUUGCUGUUUUGACGUUACCGACAGAAUAAGCACCGGCUAACUCUGUG